Molecule: non-coding RNA, 3387 nt
Organism: Meleagris gallopavo (turkey)
Lineage: Eukaryota; Metazoa; Chordata; Aves; Galliformes; Phasianidae
Source: RefSeq, a predicted model, not a curated record
GAUGGGUGGGUGCGGGGUGUGGAGGGGUGCUGGAGUAGGAGCUGCGAGGCAGAACCAGUGUGGGCUGGUGUUGCGUGUUUUAAGGAGUCACAGCAUAACUGGCAGUCAGAGCUGGGGUGGAGGGAGCAGCACUCACCGUCUGCCAAGCCUGGGGGUCAGAUGGGAAGUUAUCUGCCAGCCUGAGUGACCUCUCCACUACAAGGAGUGCUCUCUACAGUGGAGUUAGAGAGCAGUCCCUGGAAACAUGAGAUGGCUUUAAAGAAAGAUCUAAGCAAACAAUAGUGACCUGCUUCUAGAGCUUAAACACCCAGUGUGGCGUGUGGUGAAAGAUUGAGUGUGGGUGGAUUUUUAAAUGGGCAGGAUUCUGCACUGGGAGGCAGCAGGGCAUGCAAGUGAUGUGCAGGUCUGGCAAGGCUGCGAAUGACCUAGAUCUGAGUGAUGCCAGGUGGAGGCUGUCCACUGGAAGGAAUCAUCUAUUAAAUACGGUUACUCUGUGCCAGAGAAGGCUUUUCAGAGAUGUUCAUUUGUGUUUUACAGAUUCAGAGAAAGAAAUGGGAAAAGUGUCAACUUAAGAGGAAGCAAUGAAUCUCUGUUGAAGCAUCCGAUAGCAGGAUCUCUGCAGAAAAUAUGUGUAUCCCAACAGCACUUUACGUGUGGUGUGUUUCAGCUUCUGGAUGGUAAAUCAAAAUUGAAGCUUCCAUCCUCUAGCUGUGGUAUGAGAAGCUUUUGGCUUUUAAUACCUUGCCAAUCACCCGGUACUCUUGAAAUUGUGGGAUUGCAUUUCAGAAGGAGCAACAGAGUUCAGAAGUGCAAUUCGUGGCCAUCUUCAUCUUAAUAUGAAACAGGCCCUUGAGUCAGGAGGGGAAGUGUUGCAUGCAAGGACCUGUUGUCUCUUCAGACCAUCUUUUUGAACCAAAGAUGACCUUGCAUUCUUCUUCAGCAUUCCAAGUAGUUUGUUGGCUGCUGAUAAGUUACUUGCUUUGCAGCCUUCAAAUCCUGAGUUCUUAUCUGUCCUGUCCAUGUAGCCAUGUGGCACAGUAUUUAGGGAAAGCAGGAAAUAAGUUAUACCUUCACAAGAGGAGUAGUGCUUUGCAGGUUUGCUCCUUUUCUUCCCACAGAAAGAUAAAUAAAGUUGAGUUGGACAGUGGGUGUUUUCUGAUCAAUGUGUUGGUGUGAAUGGUACCAGAGAUGGCUUGGAGAAAGGCUUUGUGGAAGCCAGUGUGGCAUACAAAUUGCUUGUUGGGAAAAAAAUAAAAUAAAAAAUCUAAGUAAUAGCGAUAUAAACAAGUUUCAGUAAAUUGUGACUUUUUUUUUUGGCAGUUUAAUGUAGAUUUGAUGUUUGUGAGCCUUGGAAGCUGAUGAUUUUUCCAAAGGCGAGCUCCCUAACCUGCUAAAAAUACCUGUUUUAUGAAGGUUCUGCUGCAAACCAGACUCCUGAGAUUUCCAUGUGUUUGUCACUUCUACAGCACAGUCCCGAUAAAUAAAUCUGGAGGUUAUGGCAUUGUGCAUUAACCACUUUGUGUCCUUGUUAACAGUUCUUACAGCACAGUGUGACAAGAUUAAUGUAGCAGUAGUUAAUAACCUUCUGCCUUUCAUGUUACUGGUAGAAAUGCUGCGUCAAGGAACCUCCAAUGAGUCUGAAUGUGAUACUGCUUGAGGGCAGGAUUCCUACACUAAGAAAUGAGAAUUGUACUUGAUACCUUUUUGAUGCUGCUGUGCUCUUUUGACCAGUGUUAUCAUGAAUGGGAAUUUUCAUAAUGAGACAUCCUUGGCUAUUGGAUUUGAUUGAUCCUUUGCAAGUAAAUUUAAGGUUCUGAAACACCCCUAGCAUGAAAGUUUUGUCUGGGAGGAUAUCCACUUUUUGUAUGGUAUCUUGACUGUGGAGAGAGUGAGUGCUUCUGGCAUUGGUGCUUGAUUGUGCCUCUUAAGUUACUAGUAACUGGGUAAAUAUGGUCCUCCCUGAAACCCAUUUUACACAGGACUGCAAAGGAACGGCAUGUAUAAUCUGUGCAAAUGGGGCUAAUGUGUUAAACUGUCUGUCACGCUCUCCUUCUAGUUCCUGUACCUGAGGGAUUUUUGUAAAUGUAGAUCAGCUGAGUCUGUAACUGAAAUAGGAAGAAUCUUACUUUUUAAAACUUUAGAACCUUUACAUCUGGUUAGAGGGGAAUGAUGAACGUGUGGUGAGAGUGCUGAACUGGGAUGUAGGAUACCUAUUUUCUGCCAGAGAUUGAUUAUGGGUGUUCACAUAAUUACUGAUUCUUGCUUUCUGCUCUUUGACUGUAAAAAUUAAUGCCCAUCUUUCUAAGCAUUUUAGGAAGAGUCCAUAAAUAUCUGUAAGACACUUGAAUACUGUGAUGCUAAAUGUUUUAGUAAAGCAUAAUAAGGAAAAAAAAUUAUAAGAAGAAUAUGCAUAGCCAUGACUUUAAAAUGAAGUAGACCUUUUGUGAUCUGUUAUCUUUCAUGUUCUGCAACAUGAUGAAAUUGUUGUGAAGUCAGGCCUGGCCUUCUUUAAGACAAGUAAGCAUUCUGAAACCCCCUUUCCUCUCUCCCCAGGAGCUGCUUCAUUUUUUCCACAUCUGGUCAUGCCUUAUCCAGCUGAAUGUUUGCAACUGAAACUCUUAUUUUCUCAUUUGUUUCCCUUGAUUGUUCUAGACUCAGAAAUUGUUCUCUUUGUUGCCAGGAUAUUCAUGUAAGGUCUUACUGCAAAUGUGCUCGGGCAGAAAAGGCCGAGAGCAGAAGCUUGUAGGCUGUCUCAUGUUUGGAAUGACAUAAGCCACCCUCUGGAGUGUCCUCCUGGGAGCUGUGCUUAGGAAGGAAAUGGCGUGGAAGGCCAUGAAGGAGUGUGAGAACAGCUUUGCAAUGGUUGGAAUGCAGGAUAGGCAUCACUUGGGUGGGCUCAGUUUUCCUCUACUUUUCAGCAGUGCUGGAUGCCAAGUCUGAGGAAGACUGCUGCACAGAGGGGAAGAAGGCUGGAAUGUGUUCUUCAGUUGAGGUGAAUGCAAUUCAGUAAAACUGAUAGGCAUCAAACUGAAUAAUGAUUUUAAAGUAUUUUCACAUGAUGUCUAAUCUGUGCAAAUUCUCUACCACAUAAUAGCACUGAGGCUGAGAGCUCAGAAAAGAUCAAGCACUUAUACGAGUGGUAGUGUUCAGACUUGCUUUAGCUAAAGAGCUUGUUUUAGAAGGCAUGUUUUUUUCAGACAUAACCCAAUCUCUAACAGGUAAAGGUUAGAAAAAAGGGCAUUGCAUUCUGUAAUUGUCCACUGGGCUUCUUGCUGUCUUCUAAACCUCCUAGUAUUGGCCUGUAUCAGAGGUGAGGGAUUGAAUCACACUUACUAUUUAGAUUGCCUGCUAACCUUUCCUUUUGUGAUAACCACAUCUUAAAAAAAA